ACAAACAGCAAGGGGGAGGAGAUGAAACAUAACCCUCACCUUUCCUUCUCACCACCAUAACUCCUCCGUCCGGGCUCCGAUCGCCGCACCGUUCGCGGCCACGCGCACAGCGCGUCGAGCUCUACCUUUCUAUCCGAAUAAUUUCAUUGGUUCAAGUUAGCUUCCGGAACUUGUGGGCUCAAGCUAUUGAGCAUAUGGGUAUGGUGUAGUUUAAGAGGGUAUUUAUGCUUUGGACUUGCAUUUGGAUUACUUGGAGUUUUGUUGGUGACAAGGCUUGCUUUGGGGCUGUUUGUUUGAGUUUGGAGGAGACUGUGAUUUUGUGUUGAGAGGCUGCCUUGGGUGAAUUAAGUAAUCGGCCAAGAUGCAGGUCGAGAGGCUCCUCGCUAGGUGUCUGGAUCUUCAAGCGGAGUAGUCCCUGGGGUGUUUUGGUUUAUCAGAUUAUGUAUAUAUGUACUUAGUUACUUAGCUUGCUCUCCAAGAAACUU
Molecule: long non-coding RNA, 485 nt
Organism: Arachis duranensis
Lineage: Eukaryota; Viridiplantae; Streptophyta; Magnoliopsida; Fabales; Fabaceae
Exons: 4
Source: RefSeq, a predicted model, not a curated record